GCCAAUUAACCCAACUUUCUCAAUUCAUAAAGAAAACAAUUAUUUUAAGUAUUGAAAAUAACAGCAAAAUGAUUCUAUGUUCAGCUCUGUUUUGUUUUAAAAAGAAAAGGAAAACAGAAUCAAAGCUAUACCACUUACAAAAACUCAACAUUAAUACCCAAGAAAAACAUAGAUACAGACCAAGUUCCCCUUCCGUUACUCUCCUUUCAAGAGCAAGAUGAAGUUAGAGGAACCAAAGAAUGUAAGAAGAGUGGACUUCUUUUCCAAACCACGAAGCAUAUUCUUCACCUAAUCGAUUCUCAAUCUUCAUACAAGAUAAACCUUGCAAUAUCAUUAAAUCCAGCCUCCUUAUAACAUUCAGCAAUUCUCUCUCUGACUUCAGCCCAAGUUCCUUCAAUAGAAGCUAAAUCCAAUAAAAAGGCAGCCUCAUCCAAUGCAAUCUACAUGGCAAAUCAAUAUAAAGUAUUCCACACACUUCCAAUAAUACUUGGACAAGUUUUUCAAAGUUUCUCAUGAAGUUGAGAAGUUUUUUAAUCCAGUAAGAAGAAUUGCACCAAAUUGUUACCUGGGCAGGUGCCUUUCCCUUCUUUAAAUCCUCUUGUCUACCCUCUUCAGUCACCUUCUCCUUUAUGUACUCAAUUUGCUCAUCCCCCCAUUGUGCAAUGCUAGCAACCUCCUUAUAAUCAUUAUCACCAAACAAGGCAAUAAAACUGGCAAGUUAAAAGUAGAAGAUAGUUCUCCAAAAGAAUGGUGUCAAUAGAUUAAAAAAGGGUUAAAUACCUGGUAUGCACAACCUAAAGUCCACCAAGGUGAUUUCAAAGCUACCCUUGCAGCAUCUUUAGCUUCUGAGGUAUGUCUAACUCUACAUCAGCAAUCCAUAACAUUCUCUUGAGGAAUAAUUUAUUGAAUGGGCUCAAAAAUAUGGAAAGUACUGGAUAAGAUUUGUACAAACUUCUGCAAAAUCUCUGCAUAGAAUACAAAAGGCCGUCCAAAUCCUGGAAAUAGAUCUUUCUUUGUAUAAAACUCUCCCGUCACCAUUGCUGAAACCUACCACUCAGAAGUAUAUGAGAAUUUGCUAAGGAAGUAGCUUAUUAAUGAACAAAGUUAGAGACAACUUACAUAGUCCCCUUGCUCAAAAUGGUGCAUAACUUUGCGCUCUAACACAUCAGGAAACAGCCCAACCUUUUUCAAAAUAUAUGAAUCAAGACUUGCAACCUGAGAUUCAGCAAAAUCACCCUUUCUGUAUAGUUUCUUACCAGCUUCUGAAGAAGCAUCAUAGAGUUCACCAUUACUCCCACAGAAGUUGUUGGCAUCUUCUUCAACCAGAGUUCUAUGGAUAUAUUGAUCUACCUGUGUUGCCACCACUGUAUAGUAUAAGUCGUCUUCAUGUAGGUACUUUAAACACAUUAUCCCACGAUUAAAAAUUUCCCAACCAAGACUCCCAAAAAUACAUAAAUAAAUAAGGGAAAAGAAAAGAUAAAAAAAUAAUGUGGGAAUGCCAAGGUGCCAAAGAAUGUGAUUUAGUACAUCAUAAAAUUAUGCACAUAAGUGUAUAAUGUGGCCAUCUAAUUAUACACAUCAAGGCAUGCUUUCAGUUUAAUGUAUUACAUUCUUGGCUAAAAGCCACACCCCAUGCUUGCGAACUUCCACAACUGGCAUCUCCAUUCCAGGUGGAGCUGUCGGCCACCGCAGCAGUGCAGUUAAAGAACCUAGUGGCAAAGAUAAAAAUGAUAAACAGACAGUUUUCAAAUGAAUGCCCAUGACUAAUGCGCAUAUUAUGAUAGAGUCUGUCAUAGAACUGCUCCCCACUUGUCAGCACUUCAUCAUAAAAGGAUUCAUCUAACCUGACAAAUUUUCUGAUAGGGGAAUUACAAGGGGAAUUAAUCCUUGCCUGGAUCCAGGAGAAAUAAUUGUUUCACCUGUAACCAAAAAGGUAACAUACAGUAGCAAUUAAUAAAUGAAUCCGAGUGUAAAAAGUACAGGCACGUUGUGACUUGCAAGUUGCAUAUAUUGUAGGGAAAAAUAACAUUAGAAUAUAAAAUAUAUUCCAUCUGAAUGCCAAGUGUUAGUGAUUUGCCUAGUGUUAGUGAAUGUGCAGUUCCAAAUAAAUUUUUGAGGACAGAUUUAGCAUAUCUUAGAAGAUUAAAAUCCUUUCUCUAAUUGGACACUGUAAGAAAUCAAGAAAUUGCAAAACCUGAUAACAAAAUAGUUGUUCUGUAGUUACCUCAUUUUUUUUACAGGUGGAUGCCAUAGAAAGAGAUAAAACAAUAUCAUUGCUAAAAUAAUCAAACCUUCAGUAAGAAAAAUCACUUCAUCAACAAUAAACAAAUUUCAGUGUGUUAUAAAUAGAGGAAAAGAGAGCACUCUUUAAGAAACGGAGCCUUCUAUGCCACAAUAUAAUGUUACAUUUUUCCAAUCAAAUCCCAAUAUUGCAGACAGAAUGAGCAAACAAACAUUUUCUAAAUGAUACUUGGAAAAGUAUGACAAACUGCAUCAAACAUGGAGUUAUGAGAACCAGGCCCAUUUUAAUGGAGUGAUUUAUAGGCAAGGGGAGCAAGAAUAACAGAAACCAGAGAGACAAGAGGUGCAAAAGAGCAGUAAAAAAGAUUCAUACAAAAGAUCAAAGUUCUGAGCAUUCACAUCAAAGAAAUAAAAGCACAUAUAAAAAAGUUAUCCUAAACAAUAAGUAAAAAUGGUAUCCAUGUUGAAACUGUGGCUCAUAUUCAGAGAAUGUACUGCAAACUGAAAGCUCUAGGCCAAGGGGAGGGGGGUUCCCCUGUAAAAUGGUCAGUACUGUUAGCUAGGGCAGUUCUAAGUAUGGGAGGUUAUUAUUGUAUUCUGGGUUUCUCUUAUUCCUAAUAUAAAAAGGAAAACCCUAGUCUAUAUAAUUGGUGCUUGUGACCUUCUCCUUCAUAGUGAAAAAUCACAAGUGGCUUUCUAUGAAUGUAGAGACAUUACCAAACAGUAUCAAAUUCCUUAUGUCUUAUUUUCUAACGUUCUGUGUUUGUUUUUGUGUGUGUGUGCAUGUGUUUGUGUGUAUCUUAUGUUAGUUACUUCUCAAAAACCACCCAUAGUCAGAAAAAAUUGUGAAUGUAAUAAACAAAUAAUACUACAAUGGCAAAGCUCUACAACUUGCAUUGAAACAAAUAAUGGCACAUCAUGAUCAAAUUACAAUCAUAUAUGGUCAAUACUGAUACACGUGUAUCAUAUAGUUAUUUCAAGGCACUAUUGCAUUGUAUUUCAUAGCAUUUAGGUAGUUAAUUGCAUGCAUUUUACUUAAUUUCAUUAUUUUUUGUUAAUUUUGUUAAUCUCUGCUUAAUUUCGUGUUUUCUGUAUCUUUUCAGGUGUUUUAAGGAAGAUCCAAGGCAUAAAAGUCAAUUGGACAAGUUUGGAAAUCAAAAAAAGCAAGAAGGGCUACUGCAUAACAUUACACAGGUUGUGUAAGUAUGGAGUUUGACCCGUGUAACUUCUGGUCAAGAGAGAUUGAAGAAGGCAUAAAACAACCACAGUACACGGGUUGUGUGACAAACCCCGUGUAAAUCAUCAGCCUUGUGUAAUCUUUUGGAAGCCAAAGACCUAGAGAGCCAAGGAGAGACAACAGUACACGGGCUGUGUUAAUAGCCCCGUGUAAACUUCCUAACCCCCAUGUAACCUGUUGUUUCCCUCAUGAACGAAGCCCAAAUUAGUCCAGAGACUUACACAGCCCUGAGCCUUGUAGUGCCACAUGGGCCGUGUACUUUGCAGUAGAUAGACUUCUGUUUCGACUCCAAUUCCCUUUCACUCAUUCCGAAAAGACUUCUAAAGCUCUUAAGACUCUGAAAUGUGACUCUGAAGCACCUUAUAUAAAUACUAAAAGACCAAAACAUGCAAAAGAGCUUUUAGUUUAAGUUAGAGUUAAUUUUAGUUUACAUACAAACCCUAGUUUUCUAAGCAACUUAGAAAGAAUCGGUAUCAGCAUCAAAAAGAAGUACUCUCAGCUAAAAUUCCAAAAGUUCAAGGUUGUAGAAUCUUUGUUCUCGGAUCUUUUGUUAUAUUUCUUUAAAUUGUCUUAUGCUAUUUUAUUUUAAUUUCAGUAUGAUUGUUAAACUCACCAUGAGUUAGUAGUUUAUUUAAUUUUAGAAUUAGAAGACUAACACUUUCAAUGUCUGUUAUGGACAUAUAUUAAGGUUAUUUAAUGGAUUUGAGUUUUGUUAUUUGAUUCAAUAUUCUGUGUUUUUAACACAUGCUAUAUGUUGAUACCCACUUAGUCAUGAUAUUAUAUACUAGUUAAAGAACUGAAAGGUGAAGAUUUGUAUUAGAAAUCAGAAUUUUGAACCAAGGAAAUCUGACUUAGAGAUAGACUGAAAUCUUUUGUGGAAUCUCAUAAUUAAUCAAAGAGCUUAAAGGGUUUAGAUUAAUUAAAAUGCACCUUAGGUGCCUUGAGAGAGGACUUAAAAUGCUU
RNAcentral lists this unclassified non-coding RNA (4441 nucleotides) under Hevea brasiliensis (rubber tree). Lineage: Eukaryota; Viridiplantae; Streptophyta; Magnoliopsida; Malpighiales; Euphorbiaceae. The record is from RNAcentral.